This 405-nucleotide ribosomal RNA is filed under the name Nemurella pictetii. RNAcentral describes it as "partial 12S ribosomal RNA". The stretch from base 51 to 405 matches the Rfam family "Microsporidia small subunit ribosomal RNA", at positions 752 to 1207 of the family's 1311-position model. Lineage: Eukaryota; Metazoa; Arthropoda; Insecta; Plecoptera; Nemouridae. The record is from RNAcentral.
UAAACUACGAUUAGAUACCCUAUUAUUUUAAAUGUAAAUUUAUUAAACUUGAGUAGUAAUAGUUAUGUUCUUGAAACUCAAAGAAUUUGGCGGUGUUUUAGUCUUUUCAGAGGAACCUGUCCCGUAAUCGAUAAUCCACGUUAAACCUUACUUAUCUUUGUUAUCAACUUGUAUACCGCCGUCGUCAGAAUGUCCUAAGAAGGAUUUAAUUUUCUUAAAUUUUUAUUAAAAAUGAUGUCAGGUCAAGGUGUAGUUUAUGGAUAAGUGGAGAUGGGUUACAAUAAAAGUAUUUAUAACGUAUAAAUUUUUGCAAUAAAAUUUUGAAGGUGGAUUUGAUAGUAAUUAAAUUAAUUAAAGUAAUUUGAUUUUGGCUCUAAAACAUGCACACAUCGCCCGUCGCUCUUA